Molecule: long non-coding RNA, 2274 nt
Organism: Olea europaea var. sylvestris
Lineage: Eukaryota; Viridiplantae; Streptophyta; Magnoliopsida; Lamiales; Oleaceae
Exons: 7
Source: RefSeq, a predicted model, not a curated record
UAAAGGGAAUGGUGAUCGACGUUCUAACGCCGUUGAUACACUUGCACCUAACAUACGGUGGCGUAAAUUUGGAGGCAGCGAACAUCCCCCUCUGUUGGCGGGAACACCUCGGCCACCCCUCACUCCGCCUUCCCUCUGGCCCUCGUAUUUGAUUUCGUGCUGCCUCUUUAGGUGAAUGAAUGGAAGAUAUUCUUGUUAUGAAGUGCAGUGUGGAAAUGAGGCCCGAUGUCGCUGUCUUGAUGACGACCACGACUUCAGCAUUAUAAAACUGUAAAUUUUCUUGCCCUAACACAAACACCAGCGUGAACCAGUUUGCUCCACUUGACAUGCGUACCGCCAUGGUUGCUUUCCUUGGUUAUUGGAAGCCAAAUGUAAUCAUACUAUUGGAAAGUGAAUUGUGUCCAAAUCUCGUUAUGGCUGCUGCUAGGAAUGGUGGAUCAGCCUCGGCAGUGUUCCACUUUUGUAGAUAAUGUUUCUAUUUCAUAGCACGAACCUAGGAAUUCACUGUUAGCUGUUGCAAACUCCACCUUUCAUUAUGAACUUCUUGGGAGACCGAAAAUGUGCUAUUGAUGAUUUUGGCAUUCUUGAGGAAGAGAAGCAUUCUGGAAGAUUUACAGGUACAACUUGCUCAUAGAAAGGUGGGGAUGGCAUCAUCCAUGCACAAGGGAUAAGAGGAUGAUAUGUAGGAACUAAGUAAAUUGCCGGAGGGUAAAGACUUCUAUCUGGAUGGUUCCAAUUGGAAUGUCACUUUCUUUAAAAAGAAAUAUCUAUUUUGUCGUUUCUCAUGCUAGUGUAUACAAGAUAAAAAUUAAAUAUGCGUUUAGAAUAUAUGUCCAUCUCCUAUCUUCAAAUUCAACUGUCAACAGUAUUAUUUAUUAGAAUAAGUACUAGCUUCGCAUAUUUCACCAUUAUUUUAUAUAACACCAUACAUCUCACAGACAGUCUAUCUGAAGUGAUCUCUGCGCGUGUUUUAAUGAGUUGAGGGGUUUAGGGGAAAGAAUGGCGAAGAAUAAAGUGCAACAAGAAGAUCUUGUCAUAUAUUUUUAACUGCCACCAAACUUGAGUAUUUUAAUGAGCAUGAUAUAUAUUCUGUAUCCAAAUUUUGUGCAGUCAAUGAUAAGCUUAUAGUAUAGUAUUAAUUUAAAUGCUUACAAACCUUUGUGCAGUCAUUCUAAUAGCUCACAAUGUGCUUAACAAAUUCAUCCAGAUACUGUCAGUAUCCUUUUUACCCCGCAACCUCGACAUGGGAGAGAGAUCACUCUGGUAUUGGUUUAUGGGAUAACCACGUCUCUUUUCUGUCAUGACUAUUAUAGAAGACAUUUCUUUAUGCUUUGUGUUUGUGGUUUAAAGCCUGUGUAUUUUGCUCAUUUCGGAACUUAUGAUAGCACAGUUGAUCAUUUUAUCUUCCUGCUCACCGAUCAACUUGUCAAUGGAAUUCAUGGCAUGGGGUAAUUAUGUUAUUUUCAAUCAGCUAUCUUGGACAAGAGCCUUUGGCCAUCUUUGAGAUUUGGGAUUGUCUUUCUACUUCUCCCAACUUAUCGUGGAGAAGACUUGAUUGAUAAUAAUAUUUUGAAAACUUUUCUUCAAAAAUUCACCCCUCCCCUAUCUGCUUGACCAGCACCGUGUUUCCGUAACAGGACGUCAGGCACGACAGCUGCAGGGGAAUGUUAAAAAUCAGUAUAAUGUCAGUUUGUCCAAAAGAUUGAAUCUAUGACUAUCUAAUUGCUUCAAAACGACAUACCUUCCCCGUCUAGUCAAAUAAGUCAAAGCGAUUUUGGUCACAGAAAUGGGCAAAGUGCGCGCUUAACAAUGUAGAGUUUCCCUCUUCCAUAAGAGAUUGCACAAGUCCUAGCAUAUCCCCUGAUUUGGUUCCUAGAUAUUGAGAUGCUUCUGAAGAUAUUUUGAGUAACUUCUCUGUAAUGACACUGGCCCUGGUGAUAUGGUGUGCUGUUUUAUCGAGUUUCUUUUGAAUGCUCGAGAAGAUGGCAUGUUCUGGGGUGCAAUUCCUAGAUUUUGAGGAGCUUCUGAAGAUGCUCAAAAGAGUAACUUCUCCAUGGACAAAUUAUCACCUUGUUGAUAUGCUGUGCCAACACUAGUAUUAUCUCAAUUAUCUGUUGAAUGCUUGAUAAAGAACGCUCAUGGUCUCUUUCAAGUUCAUGGAGACUUUUAUUUGCAUGUAAUUAUAUACUUUUAGAACCAGACCUCGUCACUUUCCUAGAGACAGAAACAUGAAUUAUUCUUUUCCAUAUCAGUAUGAAUUGUACUUCAUAUGGC